CGCGAAUUCGCCCUUAGAGUUUGAUUAUGGCUCAGGAUGAACGCUGGCGGCGUGCCUAAUACAUGCAAGUCGAACGAAACUUCUUUAUCACCGAGUGCUUGCACUCACCGAUAAAGAGUUGAGUGGCGAACGGGUGAGUAACACGUGGGCAACCUGCCCAAAAGAGGGGGAUAACACUUGGAAACGGGUGCUAAUACCGCAUAACCAUAGUUACCGCAUGGUAACUAUGUAAAAGGUGGCUAUGCUACCGCUUUUGGAUGGGCCCGCGGCGCAUUAGCUAGUUGGUGGGGUAAAGGCUUACCAAGGCAAUGAUGCGUAGCCGAACUGAGAGGUUGAUCGGCCACAUUGGGACUGAGACACGGCCCAAACUCCUACGGGAGGCACCACCAGGGAAUCUUCCACAAUGGGCGAAAGCCUGAUGGAGCAACGCCGCGUGGGUGAAGAAGGUCUUCGGAUCGUAAAACCCUGUUGUUA
Molecule: ribosomal RNA, 474 nt
Filed under: uncultured bacterium
Lineage: Bacteria
Description: bacterial SSU rRNA
Rfam family: Bacterial small subunit ribosomal RNA
Source: RNAcentral